GCAGUCCUCUGCAAGCACACUUAAUGUAUAAAAAAGCAGCCGGGCGCUGUGACUCACGCCUGUAAUCCCAACACUUUGGGAGGCCGAGGUGGGCGGAUCACUUGAGGUCAGGAGUUCUACAUCAGCCUGGCCAACAUGGUGAAACCCCUUCUCUACUAAAAAUACAAAGAUCAGCUGAGGGUGGUGGCGCGUGCCUGUAAUCCCAGCUACUCAGGAGGCUGAGGCAGGAGGAUCGCUUGAACCCAGGAGGUGGAGGUUGCAGUGAGCCCAGAUCUCGCCACUUCACUCCAGCCUGGGCAACAGAGACUCCGUCCAAAAAAAAGCCUGCAUAUAAUCUGGGCUUACAAGCACCAAGGACAUUCCUGCAGAUUACCCUCAGACACUGGAGGGAGCCGGAAGUACCUCGGAGUUUUAUGUUUCACCUCGUUCCACAACCCUGGAUAGCCAAAGACAGGCUGAUGAAGAGCACCAAAGCCCAGCUCCUUUGUGUUGAGGCAGGAAAAACUCUGAGGUGUGUUCUUUGUUCUAAAGCUUCCCGUGUGAUCAGGCUGAGUGUAGGACUUCGGAAAUCAUGCUCUCGCUUGGCUUCUUCCCAUUCCCUGUCCUUCAUCCCCCACUCCUUUACUGUUCUUUUCCUAGGAGCCCCCCACUUUUUUUUUUUUGAAACAGAGUUUCACUCUUCUUGCCCGGGCUGGAGUGCAAUGGCACGGUCUCGAAGAGCCCUUUCUUAACAAGUCAUUUGCAUCCAAAUCUUUGGCUCAGGGCCUGCUUUUGCAAGACUCCACCUAAGACACUCGCUGACUCUUCAGAUGAUGAAAAUGGCAUGCACACUUGCAGACAGCUAAGGAUUCUGUCUUCGUCUUUCUGUUGCUAUAGCAGAAUACCUGAGAUCAGGUAAUAUACAAAAAAAAGAGGCCAGGUGAGGUGGCUCAUGCCUGUAAUCCCAUCUUUUUGGGAGGCCGAAGACUGGAGGAUCUCUUGAGGCCAGGAGUUUGAGACCAGCCUUGGCAACAUAGUAAGAAUCUGUCUCUACAAAAAGUUUUUAAAAACUAGCGAUGCGGCCGGGCGCAGUGGUUCAUGCCUGUAAUCCCAGCACUUUGGGAGGCCAAGAUGGGUGGAUCAUGAGGUCAGGAGAUCG
RNAcentral lists this long non-coding RNA (1138 nucleotides) under Homo sapiens (human). RNAcentral's name for it is "non-protein coding lnc-PATL2-9:2". The record is from RNAcentral. Lineage: Eukaryota; Metazoa; Chordata; Mammalia; Primates; Hominidae.